UUCCGUACGUGAACCUGCGGAAGGAUCACUGAUUCAUAUCGACUAAUGUAUCCACGAUCUUUCGUGGCUUUCUCUCACAACUUUAACACUCAACGCAUGGUGGGCGGUUCCCAUCUAUUGUGUAAUACAAAACCUUGCUGAUGGAUGUCUAGGCUCUUGUAUCGAUGAAGAACGCAGCAGAUAGCGAUAUAUGAUGAUUGAAGCUCUGUCGUGAAUCAUUGAAUCUUCGAACGCAUCUUGUGCUCUUGGUAUAUCCCGAAAAGGGUUGAGCAUGCGUAGCAUAGUGACGACUCAUAUACAUGGUGCGGGGAUGGUUUCCUGUGUCUCCCGUACUCAUCUGUCUAGACACGGUCAUCGUGCUUGGCUAAUAAAUCCAAUCUCGAAAAGAGACCCGUGGUUCGCGUCUGCUGACCACGUAACAUGUACGUCCUAUGCUAACGUAAGAGUACCCGCCGAACUUAAGCAUAUC
Molecule: ribosomal RNA, 469 nt
Filed under: uncultured eukaryote
Lineage: Eukaryota
Description: eukaryotic LSU rRNA
Rfam family: 5.8S ribosomal RNA (bases 130-289)
Source: RNAcentral